Molecule: ribosomal RNA, 458 nt
Filed under: uncultured bacterium
Lineage: Bacteria
Description: partial 16S ribosomal RNA
Rfam family: Bacterial small subunit ribosomal RNA
Source: RNAcentral
CCUACGGGUGGCAGCAGUGAGGAAUAUUGGUCAAUGGGCGAGAGCCUGAACCAGCCAAGUCGCGUGAGGGAGUACUGCCCUAUGGGUUGUAAACCUCUUUUGUCGGGGAGCAAAAGCCGGACGUGUCCGGCUGUGAGAGUACCCGAAGAAAAAGCAUCGGCUAACUCCGUGCCAGCAGCCGCGGUAAUACGGAGGAUGCGAGCGUUAUCCGGAUUUAUUGGGUUUAAAGGGUGCGCAGGCGGAUUUUUAAGUCAGCGGUAAAAUCGUGGGGCUCAACCCCAUCCAGCCGUUGAAACUGGGGAUCUAGAGUGUGCGAGAGGUAUGCGGAAUGCGUGGUGUAGCGGUGAAAUGCAUAGAUAUCACGCAGAACCCCGAUUGCGAAGGCAGCAUACCGGUGCACAACUGACGCUCAGGCACGAAAGCGUGGGGAUCGAACAGGAUUAGAUACCCGGGUAGUC